AAGUCGUAACAAGGUUUCCGUAGGUGAACCUGCGGAAGGAUCAUUACCAAAUCCAAAAUCCUUCAACCCCUUGUGAACUAUGAUUUAAUUUAUUGUUUGUCUUUGGGGAGUGUAAUUGAAAUAAAAUUUUGUUUGAAAGAAUAGAAUUUUAUUUAGUAUUUACUCCCCAAAAGAGUUUCCUCCUUCCACUUUCGGGUGGUAGGGAAAAAAAACUCACCAUGUUUAAACUACUUUUUAUAACCUUUUUUUUGGAAUGCUUUUAUUUUUACUAAUAAAAGACAACUUUUAACGGUGGAUCUCUUGGCUCGU
This 309-nucleotide unclassified non-coding RNA is filed under the name fungal sp. RNAcentral's name for it is "partial internal transcribed spacer region". The stretch from base 1 to 46 matches the Rfam family "Eukaryotic small subunit ribosomal RNA", at positions 1786 to 1831 of the family's 1831-position model. Lineage: Eukaryota; Fungi. The record is from RNAcentral.